AUGAUAGGCCUGAGUUGGAACUGCCGAGGAAUCAGAGGCGCCUCGACAGUUCGUGAUCUCACCGGCCUCGUUCAAACUCACCGCCCACAGUUUGUGUUUUUGUGUGAAACUAGGCAAAAAUCUGAAAGAGUUCGUCGUUUGUGUCAUCGCUUAGGUCUGCGUGGCUUUUGCGGUGUCGAUAGUGAAGGUCAGAGUGGUGGUUUAGCUCUUUUCUGGAAUGAUCAGUUAUCAGUUGAGAUUAAAGAUAAGAACAAUAGAAUGAUUGAUUCUUAUGUUCGUGCCUCUCCGUCUAAUCCUGAGUGGCAUCUUACUUGUGUUUAUGGGGAACCCCGUACUGAAAACCGGCAUCGGAUGUGGUCCAUAAUCUCAGACCUGCGUGCGAACAGUAACCUUCCAUGGAUGCUCAAGGGGGAUUUUAAUGAGGCCUUAUGGCAAUGUGAGCAUUUGUCUGCAACUCCUCGACCGGCCAAUCAGAUAGCUGCUUUUCGGGAAGUGGUGCCAGAUUGUGAACUGCAUGACCUUGGUUUUUCUGGGGCACCGUUCACGUAUGAUAAUAAGAGGAGAGGUGGAGCUAAUGUGAAAGUAAGAUUGGACAGGGCCUUGGCUGAUGAGAGAUGGCGAGAUAUCUUCUCUGAUGCUCACGUGGUACACCUAGUAUUGCCGUGCUCGGAUUACUUGCCAAUUUUAGUGCACAUGCAAAGGGAAUAG
Molecule: ribosomal RNA, 708 nt
Filed under: Triticum aestivum (bread wheat)
Lineage: Eukaryota; Viridiplantae; Streptophyta; Magnoliopsida; Poales; Poaceae
Description: partial small subunit ribosomal RNA
Source: RNAcentral